UGGGGGAUAUUGCACAAUGGGCGAAAGCCUGAUGCAGCGACGCCGCGUGGGGGAUGAAGGCCUUCGGGUUGUAAACUUCUUUUGCUCUGAACAAGGCAUGCUGUUGGGGAGGGUUGGGUGGAGGGGUUGAUUAGCGCCUGCUAACUCCGUGCCAGCAGCCGCGGAAAUACGUAGGGCGCGAGCGUUGUCCGGAAUUAUUGGGCGUAAAGGGCUUGUAGGUGGCUGGUUGCGUCUGUCGUGAAAGCUCAUGGCUUAACUGUGGGUUUGCGGUGGGUACGGGCUGGCUUGAGUGCAGUAGGGGAGGCUGGAAUUCCUGGUGUAGCGGUGGAAUGCGCAGAUAUCAGGAGGAAUACCGGUGGCGAAGGCGAGUCUCUGGGCUGUUACUGACGCUGAGAGCGAAAGCGUGGGGAGCGAACAGG
This 419-nucleotide ribosomal RNA is filed under the name Fusobacteriota bacterium. RNAcentral describes it as "Fusobacteria bacterium partial 16S ribosomal RNA". It matches the Rfam family "Bacterial small subunit ribosomal RNA", at positions 355 to 776 of the family's 1533-position model. Lineage: Bacteria; Fusobacteriati; Fusobacteriota. The record is from RNAcentral.